This 190-nucleotide small nucleolar RNA is filed under the name Lachancea thermotolerans CBS 6340. Its description in RNAcentral is "Small nucleolar RNA snR35". It matches the Rfam family "Small nucleolar RNA snR35". Lineage: Eukaryota; Fungi; Ascomycota; Saccharomycetes; Saccharomycetales; Saccharomycetaceae. The record is from Rfam by way of RNAcentral.
AAAAACCAAUAAUCGUGCGGAUUAUCAAACCAGGACUAUAAAACCGUGUUGCUAGUAUGCCUUUCCAUGGUGUAAAUCUAGCGUCAAGUCCAUCGGAGAGAACAUCUCGUUCAUCUUAGCGCCCUUUUGUGUCACGGAAGGUCCUUUUUGGGCCAAGAUCCGGGCACAAGGGCCGGCAGAACGUACAUUC